GACGAACGCUGGCGGCGUGCUUAACACAUGCAAGUCGAACGGAAAGGCCCUGCUUUUGUGGGGUGCUCGAGUGGCGAACGGGUGAGUAACACGUGAGUAACCUGCCCUUGACUUUGGGAUAACUUCAGGAAACUGGGGCUAAUACCGGAUAGGAGCUCCUGCUGCAUGGUGGGGGUUGGAAAGUUUCGGCGGUUGGGGAUGGACUCGCGGCUUAUCAGCUUGUUGGUGGGGUAGUGGCUUACCAAGGCUUUGACGGGCAGCCGGCCUGAGAGGGUGACCGGCCACAUUGGGACUGAGAUACGGCCCAGACUCCUACGGGAGGCAGCAGUGGGGAAUAUUGCACAAUGGGCGGAAGCCUGAUGCAGCAACGCCGCGUGCGGGAUGACGGCCUUCGGGUUGUAAACCGCUUUCGCCUGUGACGAAGCGUGAGUGACGGUAAUGGGUAAAGAAGCACCGGCUAACUACGUG
Molecule: ribosomal RNA, 468 nt
Filed under: uncultured bacterium
Lineage: Bacteria
Description: partial 16S ribosomal RNA
Rfam family: Bacterial small subunit ribosomal RNA
Source: RNAcentral